GCUGGGCAUGGAGGCGUGUGCCUGUAAUCCCAGCUACUCAGGAGGCUGAGGCAGGAGGAUUGCCUGAACCCGGGAGGCGGAGGUUGCGGUGAGCCGAGAUCGCGCCAUUGCACUCCAGCCUAGGUAACAAGAGCGAAACUCCGUCUCAUAAAAAAAAAAAAAAAAAGAAUCUAUGCAUUUGAUUAUGCCUCCUCGUUGGUCAUGCCUGGGUGUUUACAUAACAUGUAAAUGUAUUUUUUUUUUUUUUUUUUGAGACGGAGUUUCGCUCUUGUUACCCAGGCUGGAGUGCAAUGGCGCGAUCUCGGCUCACCGCAACCUCCGCCUCCCGGGUUCAGGCAAUUCUCCUGCCUCA
Molecule: signal recognition particle RNA, 352 nt
Filed under: Saimiri boliviensis boliviensis (Bolivian squirrel monkey)
Lineage: Eukaryota; Metazoa; Chordata; Mammalia; Primates; Cebidae
Description: Metazoan signal recognition particle RNA (ENSSBOG00000014241.1)
Rfam family: Metazoan signal recognition particle RNA
About the family: The signal recognition particle (SRP) is a universally conserved ribonucleoprotein. It is involved in the co-translational targeting of proteins to membranes.
Source: RNAcentral